Molecule: long non-coding RNA, 444 nt
Filed under: Setaria viridis
Lineage: Eukaryota; Viridiplantae; Streptophyta; Magnoliopsida; Poales; Poaceae
Description: long non-coding RNA (SVIR_LNC000507)
Source: RNAcentral
CAGUCUGAUCGGUAGGCCCACAUUUGGGCGGGGGAAGCUGCAACUCCUUCCCUUUCUUGGAUGCUUUAGUCACCAUAGGGUGCGCAAGGGGAGGAAGAGAAAGCUACUUGAGAUCACUAGUUUUGGCUAAUGGUGGUAGUGGCGCAAGCGGCAGCGCUAGGUUUUUUCAAGAUGGAGGAUGAACAGACAAGAAUAGCCGGAAGCGCAAACCACAGGGGCUACUGCCCUUAUUUUUUAUAAUAGAGCAACGAACCUAAAACGGCCUCGAGAUUCUAGUAAUGAAACCGGUAAUAUCGCAACGGUCUAAUACUCUCAACAUUAAUCACGAGAUUGAAUCCAACGGUCACGUUGAUCAUGAUUGACCCCUUCAUCGCCUGAACAUAAUCGAUCAAAGUACUCGGGGGCUGCAUACACCUUGCCUAUUGGACAAAAUUUUCUUUUUCU